AUUGAACGCUAGCGGGAUGCUUUACACAUGCAAGUCGAACGGCAGCGCGGACUUCGGUCUGGCGGCGAGUGGCGAACGGGUGAGUAAUGUAUCGGAACGUGCCCAGUAGCGGGGGAUAACUACGCGAAAGCGUAGCUAAUACCGCAUACGCCCUACGGGGGAAAGCAGGGGAUCGUAAGACCUUGCACUAUUGGAGCGGCCGAUAUCGGCUUAGCUAGUUGGUGAGGUAACGGCUCACCAAGGCGACGAUCCGUAGCUGGUUUGAGAGGACGACCAGCCACACUGGGACUGAGACACGGCCCAGACUCCUACGGGAGGCAGCAGUGGGGAAUUGUGGACAAUGGGGGCAACCCUGAUCCAGCCAUCCCGCGUGUGCGAUGAAGGCCUUCGGGUUGUAAAGCACUUUUGGCAGGAAAGAAACGUCGCGGGCUAAUACCCCGUGGAACUGACGGUACCUGCAGAAUAAGCACCGGCUAACUACGUG
This 484-nucleotide ribosomal RNA is filed under the name uncultured bacterium. Its description in RNAcentral is "partial 16S ribosomal RNA". It matches the Rfam family "Bacterial small subunit ribosomal RNA", at positions 30 to 507 of the family's 1533-position model. The record is from RNAcentral.